Molecule: ribosomal RNA, 797 nt
Filed under: uncultured Alphaproteobacteria bacterium
Lineage: Bacteria; Pseudomonadati; Pseudomonadota; Alphaproteobacteria
Description: bacterial SSU rRNA
Rfam family: Bacterial small subunit ribosomal RNA
Source: RNAcentral
GCUCAACACAUGCAUUGCGAGCGGUCUUUGGGGGCAGCGGCGGACGGGUGAGUAACGCGUGGGAACGUUCCCUUUGGUACGGAACAACUGAGGGAAACUUCAGCUAAUACCGUAUGUGCCCUUCGGGGGAAAGAUUUAUCGCCAUUGGAGCGGCCCGCGUUAGAUUAGCUAGUUGGUAGGGUAAAGGCCUACCAAGGCGACGAUCUAUAGCUGGUCUGAGAGGAUGAUCAGCCACACUGGGACUGAGACACGGCCCAGACUCCUACGGGAGGCAGCAGUAGGGAAUCUUGCGCAAUGGGCGAAAGCUUGACGCAGCCAUGCCGCGUGAAUGAUGAAGGUCUUAGGAUUGUAAAAUUCUUUCACCGGGGACGAUAAUGACGGUACCCGGAGAAGAAGCCCCGGCUAACUUCCUGCCAGCAGCCGCGGUAAUACGAAGGGGGCUAGCGUUGCUCGGAAUUACUGGGCGUAAAGGGAGCGUAGGCGGAUAGUUUAGUCAGAGGUGAAAGCCCAGGGCUCAACCUUGGAAUUGCCUUUGAUACUGGCUAUCUUGAGUAUGGAAGAGGUAUGUGGAACUCCGAGUGUAGAGGUGAAAUUCGUAGAUAUUCGGAAGAACACCAGUGGCGAAGGCGACAUACUGGUCCAUUACUGACGCUGAGGCUCGAAAGCGUGGGGAGCAAACAGGAUUAGAUACCUGGUAGUCCACGCCGUAAACGAUGAGUGCUAGUGUCGGCUGCAUGCUGUCGGGACGCAGCUAACGCAUUAAGCACUCCGCUGGGGAGACGGCGAAGUUAAACUCA